Episyrphus balteatus (marmalade hoverfly) is the source of this 971-nucleotide long non-coding RNA. RefSeq lists it as uncharacterized. The transcript is spliced from 5 exons. The record is from RefSeq and is a predicted model, not a curated record. Lineage: Eukaryota; Metazoa; Arthropoda; Insecta; Diptera; Syrphidae.
CAUUUGUGUUGCCUCAUGUAUGAGGUACCCAUCACUUAUAAUUUAUGUCACAUCAAUUUGGAAAUUCAACAUGGCAGGAUCUAAAUAACAUUUCCAGUUGGAGUUCUCGUCGCUGUAUUUCGUCACAAGCAGGUUUCUUAACUUGAUUGGGGGCAGUUCACCAGGCGUCGGCAACAAAAAUUGCUACUUAUAUGGAGUAAAAAUGCACGCAGCUGCACUAGUGUAGUCGGUCGCCUGGGAUGAAGAAAAAAAAAUAAAUUGCAGAUGUCUACGCUCGGGAGGAGAACAACACAAAACCUACAUCGCUUCAUAUAGCGGAAUAAUGCACAAUUAAGGAUACGUAACUCCACCUUGUACAUUCCCUAUUUAAUAAUAUUGUUUUGUUUGUUUUCAGUUCCAUAAAAGUGUGAAGUUCAGUACAACCGAAAUGGAAAAAGGAUCGGUUGCCUAGUUCAUCAAUUAAAGGAGAUAAUCAUCAACAAAAAGGUUAUGGACUACCAACAAAAUAUGAACAGGAUAAUACUAACUUAAUACAGUUCAGUGUUGUGGGAAAAACCCACGGUUCAAGCCGGGCAUUAGAAGAUAUGCAGUUUGUGCUUUAAAAAAAACUAUUGACGCAGCUCAAGUUAAGAUUGUACUCAUUGCUGGAAAUUAAUGGGUUCUAUUCAGAUAAUAACCAUUAUGGUUACGAACCAUCUUUACUAUGGAUCAACAAAUUUUCUCCACAGACUAUAAUACUCCAGUCAAAGCGUCAUUUGACCUUGCGAUGAGAGGCAUUGUCUGUUUUUAUUUCAUGGAUCGAUGGGGGUAUAUUUAAAAGGCUUAAACCCAAUUUCUCACCACCUGAUCAUUCUUUUUAGCGGAGUUAUUCACAAAAAUGCAUUUUUUGGGAUAUUUUACUUCUAAGCUAAUAUCUUUGCUCUAGAUUAUCGUAGACCAAAAAAUAAACAAAAAUUCUCUUCCUUAUAAUA